RNAcentral lists this long non-coding RNA (1742 nucleotides) under Mus musculus (house mouse). RNAcentral's name for it is "long non-coding RNA chr19:22923353-22925095". The record is from RNAcentral. Lineage: Eukaryota; Metazoa; Chordata; Mammalia; Rodentia; Muridae.
GGUAGAUUUUUUUUUUUCAUGUAGCUAUUUUUGCUAGCAGUCAAGAUCAAAAUCGGGGGUGUCUGGCACCUACGAGCAUGCGCUUCAUCACCGCUGUGGAUGCUCUUCUCUGUUGAGAAUUCGGAAAGGCAUUCCUAAGACCGGAACCAAAUCUUAACCUUGAGCUCACUGGAUUCAUUCAGCUUCGGAAACAAAAGAAGUAGGCUUGUCUUCUACUAAUGGUGUUCAGAUCCUGAUGCCGUUAUGACAGUGGAGAUUUUGAACGAGAGCUCAGCGUUUUGAAAGAAUGUUUUUCCUUUUACUGUUUUGGCCCCGUGGAUAGGUAUUAGGAUCGAUCUUUUUUUUUUUUUUUUUUUUUUUGAAAAGAAAAUGCUGAAAAAUUAAAUUGGUGCAAUUUCUGUAUUUCCUGGCUGAGUUUUCUUGGGUCAGAUUAGGUCCUCAGUCUUGUGAGCAUAUCUAGUCAUAUGCUACGUAUCUUUUUCAUCAAUGGAAGCAACCAUAACAUGAAGACCCCUCUGUGCUUCUUUAUUGAUACAACUUUCUAUAACUAAGUGGUCAACACAUUUUGUAAAAUAAAUAGAAGAAAGAAGAUGAAAUGUACGCUUGGAUUUCCUAUAAACCUGUUUCAAUUUGACCAUCUCACCUCCUUAGGGACCUGCAGCCACUCACUGGAGGCAAAAAAAAAAAAAAAACUAAUUUGCAUUUACCGGUGAGGACAGACAUGAAAUGUAGGAAUCUUGGAGAAAUUUCUGUCUCACUUCAAGGUCAUGCAAGUUUUGAAAAUUGAUUAAUUGAUCUAAAAUGCUUGAGGCCCCUGUGUUGUAAGGUACCCAUGAAUACCAUAAUGUUUAGGUUACUAGAGCAUGUACCAUGGAAUAUUCUCUUUUAAGCUAGAGAUGAGAAGAGUUUCACAGAGAGUAGUUGGUUAGUGUACACUAGGCCCUUGUUUCAAUCUCCAGCACAAGAGUAACAAUAACCAAGAAGACAAUUUGGAACCUUUCUUAUCACUGAUAAUUAGCAUUUAUCGAUAUCUGCGGGUAGGCACCCUUAUCCUAUAACAUCCAAGAGGAGGAAGUCUUUGGUGUCAGACCUUUUGAUGCAAGGAGUGAAAAGCAGUCUCCGCAGUUUAAGCGUGAGGAAGGAGUACUAUACUGACUUAUAAUAAGACAAGGUGGAACUAGCCAUGAAGACACUUCAGACAGGAGUUCAAUCACUGACAGACAGGGGUAGCUCUCCUUCUCUUAUAUAUCUGCCUCGUUCAUGGGUGGGAGAACUCAGCCUCCGACAUGCUAAAUUAUUACAAAGAAUGAAUAUUCCAAGGAAUGCAAGGGAAUUUCUUCUCUCUACUUCUAUUUUCAAGAAAUGGUAGGGCAGGCUAUAAACUCAGCCCACUGGAGGCUGAAGCAGGAGGAUCACAAAGUUUCCAGCAAGUCUCACCUACAUAGCAAGUUCUAAGAUACCUUAAACUCAUGCAGAGAUCCUGUCUCCAAAAAAACCACAAAAAACAGACUGGUCUGACAAUUCUGGUGUCUCUGUCUUGUGCCACAUGCCUACCUCACCAUGGUGCCAUGGAAUGAGGUCCCACCACUAGCCUCGCUUAGACAACACACCUGCCUUUGUAGGCACAUGAGGAGCAGGGACUGUCUUUUAAGAAAGAAACAGUGGGUUUGGAGCCAGUUGGAAUCACCACUUAUUGCAAACUUACCAGGUUUCAGUGAGGAUAAGAAAGGGAUUUAGCAGGU